This 20-nucleotide microRNA is filed under the name Mus musculus (house mouse). RNAcentral describes it as "mmu-miR-6901-3p". Lineage: Eukaryota; Metazoa; Chordata; Mammalia; Rodentia; Muridae. The record is from miRBase by way of RNAcentral.
GACCUUCUGUGUUCUUGCAG